This is a long non-coding RNA of Thalassophryne amazonica, 262 nucleotides long. RefSeq lists it as uncharacterized. The transcript is spliced from 3 exons. The record is from RefSeq and is a predicted model, not a curated record. Lineage: Eukaryota; Metazoa; Chordata; Actinopteri; Batrachoidiformes; Batrachoididae.
ACGUGUACGAGGUGUUGGAGGCAGCUCUGAUUUUUCACAAAUGGCAAGCAAUUCCUCCUUCGUAUGCUAGUCGGCUUCAAUUUUGUUAUGUGCGAAGGGGCCCUGAGAUUAAACCAGAUGUUUAAACAAGUCAAAUAUUCAUCCAUCAAAACUUGUUUCGAUGAAGUAAAAUAAGCAUGUGUAAAACAUGUUUACUUUUUAUAAUGCCCUUUGUCCCAUUAUAACAUUAGGUUAAGUUAAAAAUACCUCUAUUGUAUUUGUU